RNAcentral lists this ribosomal RNA (1068 nucleotides) under Triticum aestivum (bread wheat). RNAcentral's name for it is "partial small subunit ribosomal RNA". Lineage: Eukaryota; Viridiplantae; Streptophyta; Magnoliopsida; Poales; Poaceae. The record is from RNAcentral.
AUGAAUAUCGCUCUCCUCUCCCGAUGGCUAUGGCGCAUCUCGCAAGGGCAUGGUGGGUUGUGGCUAGACAUCAUCCGGAACAAGUACCUGUGUGGCCAACCUUUGGCCUUCUGUCAACGGUCUGGUGGAUCCCAAUUUUGGCAGUCUGUGAUCCAACUGCUCCCCGUUCUCCGUAUUGGGACCUCCAUUUCGGUGGGAACGGGUUCAGCGACCCUGUUCUGGUUCGACCGAUGGGCGGGAGACUCGCCCUUCGCGGCCCGGUUUCCCGAGAUCUUCUCCAUCGCUGUCGCCCCGACGAUCUCAGUUGAAUGGGCCCUUAUUGACUUAGGGCGCCUUGCUUUCCGGAGGCCAUUUGGGCCUCCGGAAACUGCCGCUUGGGAGGAGCUUCUUGAUUGCAUCGCCCUCCACGAGCCGGACGUCGAUGCUAGCCCGGACCAAGUUCGGUGGCGCCUUGACCCUUCGGGCCAAUUCUCCACCAAGUCCCUCUACUCGGCCAUCGCUCCCUCCUCCGCCCCGUCCCCCCUCCUGGCGGUAUGGCCCAUCCAUCUGCCUCUGAAAAUACGGAUCUUCAUGUGGCAAUGGAUCCGCGGCCGGCUCCCUUCUGGAGUGGAGGUCCGCAAGCGCAAUGGUCCAGGCUCCGGUCUGUGCCCGCUCUGUGGUGUCCCCGAGGGCUCGAAUCACAUCUUUUUCGCCUGCAUAUCUGCCCAGUUCGUCUGGAGCUGUUUUAGAGAGGCGGUGGGGGGGGGGGGGAAUUGGUGCCACACCAAUUUCCCCGACCUAUUCGCUGAACUCCAGAACUCCCCCCUGCCCACUCGCCACAUUAGGUGGCUUGAGAUUGGCGUUCUUGCGUGGACCCUAUGGAUGAUUCGCAACAAACUUUUGAUUCAGCGCACUCCGCUUCGUCGGGCUACCGACGCUAUUUUUAAACCGUCUGGUUGCUUGCAGCUUUGGCGGCCGCUUAGCCGCCCUCGAGACCGGGACGCCAUCUCCGCCUUCAUCACCGACCUUCGAUCGAUGGCUGUCCGCCUAUCGCCGCCGCCCCCUCCGCCUCCUCCAGAGCCUGAUUAG